Molecule: transfer RNA, 77 nt
Filed under: Pseudomonas aeruginosa
Lineage: Bacteria; Pseudomonadati; Pseudomonadota; Gammaproteobacteria; Pseudomonadales; Pseudomonadaceae
Also listed under: 1 other name
Description: tRNA-Met
Rfam family: tRNA
About the family: Transfer RNA (tRNA) molecules are approximately 80 nucleotides in length. Their secondary structure includes four short double-helical elements and three loops (D, anti-codon, and T loops).
Source: RNAcentral
GGCGGGAUACAAUCAGUUGGUAGAUGGUCGGACUCAUAAUCCGGCGGUCGGCGGUUCGAAUCCGUCUCCCGCAACCA